ACAGCAGUUCGGUUUGUCGCCGACAGUUUUGUCCAUUGUAUAUGCUCAAAAACGUAUUGCCAUAAAUUGUGUUUUUUUUGGACAUUUUGGUCAAAUCAAACUGUCGGAGGAAAGUCCGGGCAACGCAGAGCGCCAUAUUUCUUAACAGGAAGUUGUUCGCGAGGGCAAAGUAACGUAACAGAAAAUAACCGCCGCUGUAUGUGCCUCUCCAAUUUGUUCCCCACAAAGCAGGAAGCAAUUCCUGCUCGGCGGGAGGUUUUUUUGGGGAGGAGAACAACGGUAAGGGUGAAAAGGUGGGGUAAAAGCCCACCGGUUUGUGUGGCGACACACAAAGCCGUACGUCUUAUGGGUUGCAAGUUCAAGUAUACCAACGAUUUAAGGGUUGCUCGCCCGAUGUUGGAGGGUAGAACGCUACAGGGUAAUGGCAACAUUGCUCGCAGAUAAAUGACAAACAUUUCGCCUGCCAUAAGCGAAAUACAGAACCCGGCUUAUAGAACUGCUGUUGCC
This 507-nucleotide RNase P RNA is filed under the name Prevotellaceae bacterium. RNAcentral describes it as "RNase P RNA component class A". It matches the Rfam family "Bacterial RNase P class A". Rfam says of the family: Ribonuclease P (RNase P) is a ubiquitous endoribonuclease, found in archaea, bacteria and eukarya as well as chloroplasts and mitochondria. Its best characterised activity is the generation of mature 5'-ends of tRNAs by cleaving the 5'-leader elements of precursor-tRNAs. Cellular RNase Ps are ribonucleoproteins. Lineage: Bacteria; Pseudomonadati; Bacteroidota; Bacteroidia; Bacteroidales; Prevotellaceae. The record is from RNAcentral.